This 443-nucleotide ribosomal RNA is filed under the name uncultured bacterium. Its description in RNAcentral is "partial 16S ribosomal RNA". It matches the Rfam family "Bacterial small subunit ribosomal RNA", at positions 338 to 795 of the family's 1533-position model. The record is from RNAcentral.
CCUACGGGUGACAGUAGUGGGGAAUAUUGGGCAAUGGGCGCAAGCCUGACCCAGCAACGCCGCGUGAAGGAAGAAGGCUUUCGGGUUGUACACUUCUUUUCUCAGGGACGAAGAAAGUGACGGUACUUGAGGAAUAAGACACGGCUAACUACGUGCCAGCAGCCGCGGUAAUACGUAGGUGUCAAGCGUUAUCCGGAUUUAUUGGGUGUAAAGGGCGUGUAGGCGGGAGCGGAAGUCAGAUGUGAAAACUCAGGGCUCAACCCUGAGCCUGCAUUUGAAACUGUGUUUCUUGAGUGCUGGAGAGGCAAUCGGAAUUCCGUGUGUAGCGGUGAAAUGCGUAGAUAUACGGAGGAACACCAGUUGCGAAGGCGGAUUGCUGGACCGUAACUGACGCUGAGGCGCGAAAGCGUGGGGAGCAAACAGGAUUAGAUACCCGAGUAGUC